CUUUUGUAUACAUGGAAAAUCCCAUAUUUUCCUAAAGUAAUAGUUAGCCUAAUGUCCCAGACUAAAAACCGAAAGCAAAAGACAUGCUUUAGAAGGUUGAAGCAUAGAUUUAUAUAAUGAAACCUAUUAGAAGAUUUCAGUUUGUUAGNGCAUAAUACCAUAAUAAUUGUAUAUCCGAUGAGUUUUAUAACCAUACUAAACAUAAUAUGCCUGUAGCGACGUUCUUCAGGCGUCGUAGCGUUAUGACAACUGUCACCCCAAAAGACGGACUGUAGCUAACAGUCAGGGCGCGGGAUCAUGACUUCCCAUAUAGAUCUAUACACAUUUGACACGUUCUCCGAACGGGAGACUCUGGUUAUAGACAGGACUUGUAGCGAUACCUUCUAGCAAAAAGGAAGUGUUUGAAGAUGUACUUGUCUCCCGGAUUCUCAACUAAGUCUGAAUUAAAUUAAUAGUUUUGUAUGCAAAGAUCAUCCUUUCUCACAAAGUUUUGACAAUGCAUAAAUCAUAAGUUUUUAAAAUGUAUUAAAACGGUUUAACAACGAAGGAUACUUUGGAAUUUCUAAAUACUUUGUAUAAAUCUAGUGCAUGCAAAGUAUGACAAGAGUUUUCACAUAGUAGUAAUAAAUCACAAGUGAUUCAUUUGAUAAAAACGAGUAAAGUGAAAUUUUUGAUGUAGAAGACAAGUUUGUAAACAAAACAUAUAUAUGUAUAUGGUUAUAUAUAUGUAUAAGUUUUAAAAGAUGAUUUGGUAUGUUUCGUAAUUGUUGUUCAUAUUCUUACGUUUUUAUUAGAAACUUUGCGUGAAAUAAUCCUUAAGUUUGAUACUAAAGACCUUUUUGUACUUAUCAAUUUUGUAAAAAUGGUAAUAAAACAUAUUCAAAUGAUCGUGUUUUAACUUCCUUAAUGUAUAAACAUUGCUCAAAAAUGUUGGAAGGUGUUAAUAAAUCUAUAAACCACUUUUGACAGUUUUACCCUUUACUGUCCCUGUUUUUAGAAAACUCAUACAAAAAUCAUCGUAAGUUAAAAAUUGAAUCCGUCACCUCUGAGAGUUUAUAAAAUGAGUUUACUUUGUUUCCAAUUUUUAUUAUGAUUUUUAGUGGUCUCAAACUAGUGUGAAAAUGAACAUCUUCACAGACUGGUCCGAAAUCACUUCUGAAAUGACAGGCAGUUUUAUAAAAAUCGCCAUAAAUUGUAGAAAAAUCGUAUGAACGCGUGCGAGUAGUCCUUAGAAAGGUAUAAACUUGAACUAUUUUCAUAUUGUACAGUUUUGAAAUAUAUUAAGUUUAAGAUGGUCAAAACAGUCCGUGAACAGGACUCAACUUUUCUGUAGAAAGCUGUCAUUUAAAUUUAAGUUAUGUUUAGUGUUCUAACUUGUAUUCCCCCCCUUAAAACUUGAAUAAAACAUGAAAAUGUAGGGGUAUGAACUCACCUUAUGUGAAUACUUGAAGAAUGGAAAGUUGAAGAUGAACUUUUGGUUGUUGGUUUGAUGCUCCAAAACAGCCACUCUUUUGGCUAUGUUGCUGUCACGAAAAUUUCACAGCAAAAGAGCAAGAAAAAGGGUAGUUUACUCACUGUUUUGAAUCAAUAAUUUUGAGUAUCAUAACAAGUAACUUCCAGGGGUAUUUGGUGGUAAAAAUAUCAAGCAAAAGGAAGGUGUAGAUGGGUGAAAUGGUGGCUGAAACACAAAAGGGACAGCAGCCCUUUAGUUCAUGGUUUUGAUGGCUUUGGAAGGAAGUUCUUGUGCUUGAAAAUGAGAUGAAGGUUGAGAGUAAUUCCCUGGAGUAUUGGCUGGUCAAAUGAGGGUAAAAUGAAGAGGAAAUUUCGUGGUUAUGAAGGAGGAAAGGGUGGAAGAGGAUAAGGGGACAAAACCUAGACUAGCUUGUGAUGGGAUGUGAGUUUAAGUGAUGUGAUCUUGUCUAGCCACUUGCUUGGGUGGUUGUUUAGAGAUAGAGUUAGUUAACUAACUAACUACUAGUUAUUUAGUUAGUUAGGAGUUCUAGUUAAGGAGAGGGAAGGUCUUAAUCUCGAAAAUUAGAAGAGGGAUUAAUAAGCAUUCUUAGUAAAAUGUCUUAAGUGAUUAAGCACUUAUUAGUUAAGUUGGCACUUAUCUCCACCAAUUCUCUUAUCUUAAUUGAUUUAGACAUCAUAAAACUUACAUGAAAUCAUUUUAAUUCAUGACUUAUAACUAGUCAUUCACUAGAUAAUAAUACAUAUAUACAAAUACAUACAUGUAUACUUAGUAUAAAAUAACAAUGUAGUUUUUGUGUAUUUGAACUUUAAUGUUUAUGUUUUAUUCUUUUUAUUCAAAAACACUUAAAUACAUUUUAAUUAUACCUUAUAAUAAUUCAUUUUAUAUUUUAAUUUAUUUAAAUAUAAAAUUUAUUGACCAAUGUAUAAUUUCGUGACAUUUAACCGGUUAACCAUAUCGUUAAACACGUUUUGUCACUUUGGUUCGUAUAUUUGUCGAAUUUAGAUCCUACACAACUAUUAAGCACACGUUUUACAUAGAACCUAACUUAAUUAUCAACUAGAUACAUGUUGAUACAAAAAUUAAGUUUGUUGCGUUCAAAUGAUGUUAUAUGCUAAUUUCACAAACCGGUGAUGGUUCGUAGCCAUACAUCAUAACGAAAUUUAUCAAUAGCUACUUGUUUUAUAUUUCACAAUAACUUAUUUAAAUAAAAGAGGUUAAAUUCCUUCAACCAUUCUUGAUAAAAUACUCAUAUUGCUUAAUAAUCAAAACAUAGCAUCGUACGAUCGUUCCUAUUUUUACCAAUUGUUACAUUCUCCCCCCGUUAAAAGAAUUUCGCCCCGAAAUUCAACUUGUAGACGGGAUAUCACUAAACAAUUGGGGGGUUUUUUUUGAUCCUCGCAUUCCUUAGUGAAUUUCGGUCCUCGCUUGGCGUUCCAACGAGCCUUCACUAUGGGCAUGCGACUUUGUUUUGUCCUUUUGACCUUCUGAUCCAUGAUUUCCACCGGUUCUUAGAUGAAGUUUAGACUCCCGUUGAUUUCAAUUUCAUCCAGUGGAAUAACAAGAGUCUCAUCAGACAAGCUCUUCUUCUGAUCCUGGGAUGCAUUCAAUCGUUCACGGGUUUGAAUAAUCUUCUCUGUAGUUUCUCGUAUGAUCUGGGGGCUGGUGAGAGUGUUGUUAGGAACUUGCCUGUUAGCUAUUUGCAUGUCACCUACCUCAGCCCAGCACAGAGGCGAUCUACACUUGCUUUUGUAGAGAGCUUCAAAUGACGCGACUUUGAUAUUAACGUAAUAGUUGUUGUUGUAUAAGGAUUCGAUGAAUGGUUCUUCCGCUUUGUCUGUCAGUUUGAGGGUGAUAUUAAGGACUUCUUUAACGAAUAUCGAAAACACGAGGCAAAUCACCUAUCCCUUAACCAAAAUGAUAGAUAGUGGUAUACUCUGCACUCUCGCAAUCUUCUUGUGAUAUGCUCCUGUCAGCUUUUCUAUUUUUCUUUGUAGCCUUGGUCGGUAGAAAGUGUGUGGGUUUGGUUGAUUUGUCUACGAUCGCUCAAGUGGUAGCAUGUCCAUCCACUGUCCUGGGUAACUUGUCAUGGAGUUCAUGGUAUGACUCAUAACUGAUUCAUCUAUCAUCUCUUUGUGUUUAUAAGUCGUAUAUAAUUAAGAUUGAAAAGACAGUCGAAUCGGUGAUUCUAUUCUAAGCCCACAUCCAAACAAGGAAAAGGAUUUAAAGCGAAAUUACCAACCCUAAGUACGUAGAAUUUUAAUUAUAUAGGCCUCCAAUAUAUACACUUAUUAAUCAUAGAUUCACUAGUAUGGGUCCAUAGUCUCCACUUGAGUGGGGUGAUUAACUUGGGUGAGAUGGCAUUUACAACAACCCUUUUCCACAACUACUGCACUUAGGUUGAUUUUUGAACUCGGGUUGCCGUACGGAUGGUAUUCCCAUGAGAUCUUCUCGGAAUAUAUCGAGAAGGUUACCGGCUUUUCCAACAUCCAUGGCCUCUUUCUCUUCUUGUUUCUUAUCCACAGCACGGGCUAGGACGGCGUGGUACCUCCUGUGUAGGUACUUCUGAGUCUUGUUGUAAAAGGUGAGUCGGGGGAUUGUGUCCGGUUUGUCGCCAUAGACAACGAGGGUUCUAUUACUCGAUGGGUUUAGGCAAAUGGCCUUUUCUUAAUAUAUGAUAUCGGUAUGGUGAGGAAACUAACUAAUACGUUGUUAAAAUGAAAAUGUCGUAAAUUUUUAUUGUGACCGGUGUUAGGAUGAUUUGAAUGAAUUGGUUGAUUUAGUGUUAGAGUGCACCCUAUGUACACGUCUCUAGUGCUUUUGAUUAUUCCAAUUCUACUGUAAAUAUUUCGUUUAAGUUUUUGAGGUUUUUGGUUGAGAAAUUGAUUAAAUCUACGACUCACAAUACUCCUCUCCGCGUUGCUAUUAUAUAGUAUCCAUGCAUAUGUGCUAUCGGGAAUGAACGUACCGGAAUCUCAGCGGGGUCUAUUACUUCUUUCCCACGCUCUGUUGCUAAAACACUUUCGAUGCUCCUGACGUCUUUGUUUUUAGUCUUCGGGAACUCCUUUAUGAAAUGUCCUACUUCUCCACAUCUAUAGCAAGUCCGACUCAUCCCAGCUUUUGUGUUCUGGGCGGUCUGUUGAGCCGGCACCCUACAUAAAUUUGUGGUAUGCCCCUUUUCAUUACAGUUCUUGCAGUGCAUUUCCCUGCACUUUCCUUUGUGAUGAAAGCUACACUUGGUGCAUUUUGGCAGGUUUCCAACAUAUGGUCUUGUCGGCACUGAGGUAGUAGGGAUGGUGGUGGUAUGGAAUUUCACUAUUUGUUGUCUUUUGGUAGGUCCUUGAUUUGGGGCGUCGUUGCAGGAACAUACUCGAGGUGUCCCUGGUUGUUAUUAUGAUUGGAACUUUCAGCGUUGUUCCCGCUUUUGUUUGUGUUGUUAGUGACGAGGUGUGCCAUGACUGCUGUCACGGCGGCUGUUACCACAAUUUGAAAUGUUGUAGGGUCUAUUUAUAGAACUAGUGUUGCACCAGUAUGCUGAUUACCUUCAUGUGUCGGCAUGAUUCUAUUUCGCGAGUGGCCUCCUCUGUUCUCAGUUCUGUGAUGACUGUCCAGGUUGUAGCUGUAAGGGUUCUUUGUCCUAUAACGACUAUCUCCUUUUCUAAGGAGUGUAGGUGAUCCAUAUUGUUCUUUUGAUCUGCUUGCCGGUCUAUGGGUGCUAUGGCCCGAAGUACGGUGCAGUGAGUUUAUGUCGGUUGUGGAUCAUCGGUUGUCCUCUCCAGUCUAUAUAUGUGGCUAGGUAGUUAAUUGCGGGUUGCUUCCUGAAAUGAGAGGUGGAGGUUCUCACAAUCCUCUUGAUAGGGUAAGGUUUAUUGAUGGUAUCUCCCGAAAUUCUUUCUCCAUCUAGUCCCUUCUCGGAAAUCUUCUUCCUCGUAUUUCAUCUAUUGGUACUCUUCGAAAUCUUCUUCUGGAUCCUUCUUGAUCCAUCUAUUGGCUUCGGUGGCAGGAUAGUAGGGGUCUAUGUGGAGAUGAAGUCUAGCUGGUAUGCCUAUGCGAGAAUAGGGGUAAGAAGCAUAUAAAGAAUCUAAGUGUGUGGUUCUAUUGUAAUGCAAAAUACUCCUAUAUUAUUUUAAAUUUGUAUGUUAAAGUUUUCUUUGUAUGGUUUGUUGGUAAGUUUUUAAAUUUGUUGUCCACUGCAGACACUCCUCGGCACACGUUAGUCGGCUCUCGGACAAAUAUAGUUGAUCAGGCUAUAUCCUUCCCAGUUCCGAUUACAUGUCCCAAGGCGUACCUGCACUGCACAACUUAUUUAUAAUACUUCUAAAAUGGUCCGAUGUGAAACUGUUAUUAGUACGAAAUGAAUGCAUGCUUACUUUACAAAAACUAAAUAAAUUUAAUUUCAAAAGUAUGACUCUUCUCAGAGUGUUUUUGCCCAGUUGAGUUUAUAGUUGUAUACCAAAAAUGGUUUUGAUAUACUUAAUUCACUAUAAACGAUGCUCUGAUACCAAUCUGUCACACCCCCAAACCAGAACGGCGGAAACGUUCGGGGGCGGAGGACGUCAUAUUCAGUAUCAUAACAGUUCAUAGAAAGGAAAGUACACACCACCAUACAUAUAUAAAGGUUUUAAAAAUGUUUACAUCAUUGUAUUCAUUACAUGCUCAAAAGAUAAAUGCAUAAACAUCUUUCAAAAGAAGUAAUUAACGCCAGCGCGUUAAUCCCCAAAAGUUGAUUUCCAAACCUGCUUAGCGGUUCCCUGAGAAUACAAGUUAUUUCAAAGAGAAAGUGUCAACAAUUAAGUUGGUGAGUUCAUAAGUGGUUUAGAAAGUUUGUAUGCCAUUCCAAAUUGAGUGUAUGUUUUCCAAGAAAAUCCCUUAUUUUCUUAUAAAAGUGUGAAAUGCAUGAGAAUAUAUGUAUUGAAUAAUAUAGAUAGUUGAAUCAAGAAAAUCCCUUAUUUUCCUAUUAGUUGUUUGUUUUGUAUACAGGGAAAAUCCCAUAUUUUCCUAAAGUAAUAGUUAGCCUAAUGUCCCAGACUAAAAACCGAAAGCAAAAGACAUGCUUUAGAAGGUUGAAGCAUAGAUUUAUAUAAUAAAACCUAUUAGAAGAUUUCAGUUUGUUAGAUGAAGAAUAGUUUUAAUAACUACUCAUUCAUCAAUCAGAAGUACUAUAAUAAUUGUAUAUCCGAUGAGUUUUAUAACCAUACUAAACAUAAUAUGCCUGUAGCGACGUUCUUCAGGCGUCGUAGCGUUAUGACAAACUGUCACCCCAAAGGACGGACUGUAGCUAACAGUCAGGGCGCGGGAUCAUGACUUCCCGUAUAGAUCUAUACACAUUUGACACGUUCUCCGAACGGGAGACUCUGGUUAUAGACAGGACUUGUAGCGAUACCUUCUAGCAAAAAGGCAGUGUUUGAAGAUGUAC
This 6887-nucleotide long non-coding RNA is filed under the name Lactuca sativa (garden lettuce). RNAcentral's name for it is "long non-coding RNA (LSAT_LNC002302)". Lineage: Eukaryota; Viridiplantae; Streptophyta; Magnoliopsida; Asterales; Asteraceae. The record is from RNAcentral.